This 402-nucleotide unclassified non-coding RNA is filed under the name Hevea brasiliensis (rubber tree). Lineage: Eukaryota; Viridiplantae; Streptophyta; Magnoliopsida; Malpighiales; Euphorbiaceae. The record is from RNAcentral.
AUUUGACUGAAUUUAUGUCAACUAGACUUGGUGUCAGACGCGAAUCAAGUGUUCUUUCUACUUCAUCAAGGGUAGCUGAUGAUGGGAAGCUGUAUUAUGAUGUUGAGGUGAAUAUCAAGUCUUACGCGAACAAUAACGAAUUGGCUGUUAUGCCACAAGAUCGAGUUGCUCGUCUGGAAUGGGACAGGAGAUACCUUUCAGUCCUCGGAGUGGAAAACAACUGCUUAUAUGAAUUGAGAAUACAAACACCUGAAAAGGUAUUUGUCCAAGAAGAAAGUGACAUUCGUGCAAUUAUGAACUCCUUCAGAGCAAAUAAGAUUGCAGCUUGAUAAACUUUGUUAAAGACUCGAAAUGAUAACAUGGGAUCAUUGAUGUCUGUUUAGCUGUUGCUUUUUUCUCCAA